RNAcentral lists this ribosomal RNA (508 nucleotides) under uncultured bacterium. RNAcentral describes it as "partial 16S ribosomal RNA". It matches the Rfam family "Bacterial small subunit ribosomal RNA", at positions 28 to 523 of the family's 1533-position model. The record is from RNAcentral.
GAUGAACGCUAGCUACAGGCUCAACACAUGCAAGUCGAGGGGAAACGACAUCGAAAGCUUGCUUUUGAUGGGCGUCGACCGGCGCACGGGUGAGUAACGCGUAUCCAACCUGCCCACCACUUGGGGAUAACCUUGCGAAAGUAAGACUAAUACCCAAUGAUAUCUCUAGAAGACAUCUGAAAGAGAUUAAAGAUUUAUCGGUGAUGGAUGGGGAUGCGGCUGAUUAGCUUGUUGGCGGGGUAACGGCCCACCAAGGCUACGAUCAGUAGGGGUUCUGAGAGGAAGGUCCCCCACAUUGGAACUGGGACACGGUCCAAACUCCUACGGGAGGCAGCAGUGAGGAAUAUUGGUCAAUGGGCGAGAGCCUGAACCAGCCAAGUAGCGUGCAGGAUGACGGCCCUAUGGGUUGUAAACUGCUUUUAUAAGGGAAUAAAGUGAGCCUCGUGAGGCUUUUUGCAUGUACCUUAUGAAUAAGGACCGGCUAAUUCCGUGCCAGCAGCCGCCGUAA